Molecule: long non-coding RNA, 206 nt
Filed under: Elaeis guineensis (African oil palm)
Lineage: Eukaryota; Viridiplantae; Streptophyta; Magnoliopsida; Arecales; Arecaceae
Description: long non-coding RNA (EGUI_LNC066804)
Source: RNAcentral
UUAAAUCUAAAAUUAAAAUUUUUAGAUCAAUCACGAACUGUAGGUUGUCCUGUUGUAAGGUUUACCCCUUACAGUGCAAAGGUUGUCCUAGUUUGUGUAGAUCUAUCUUUAAUCAUAAAUUUGUUAGAUGUGAUCUAGAAUAAAUUUAUGAUUUAUUAAAUUUAAAAGAUAUUUAAAUCUAAAAUAAAAUCUCUUUAUUAAUAAUU